GGUGAUUAAGCAUGACAUGGCUAGGAUGCGGGUUUCCGAGGACAUGACCCUUGAUAGGAAAGUCUAGAGGUCUAGUAUCAGGGUUGUAGGAUAGGGGCUCCUAGAGUUUUUCGUACUCCUCACGCGGGUUUGGGUGAGGCUUGGCAGGAAUAUCCAUAGAUGAUAUGUGUAUUGGAUUGUGUUUCCCUUAUGGUAGUAAUUAUGGUAGUUACUGUCUGAUAUUAUUGCAUGCUAUUUUAUGUAUGGUUCUUAUGUUUAGAUAAUUAUUUACGCUA
This 275-nucleotide long non-coding RNA is filed under the name Nicotiana benthamiana. Its description in RNAcentral is "long non-coding RNA (NBEN_LNC022616)". Lineage: Eukaryota; Viridiplantae; Streptophyta; Magnoliopsida; Solanales; Solanaceae. The record is from RNAcentral.